This 435-nucleotide ribosomal RNA is filed under the name uncultured bacterium. RNAcentral's name for it is "partial 16S ribosomal RNA". It matches the Rfam family "Bacterial small subunit ribosomal RNA", at positions 28 to 507 of the family's 1533-position model. The record is from RNAcentral.
GAUGAACGCUGGCGGUAUGCUUAACACAUGCAAGUCGAACGGACUCUUCGGAGUUAGUGGCGGACGGGUGAGUAACGCGUGGGAAUCUGGCUUUGGGUUCGGGACACCCACUGGAAACGGUGGCUAAUACCGGAUGUGCCGAGAGGUAAAAGAGAAAUUGCCUGCAGAUGAGCUCGCGUCUGAUUAGCGAGUUGGUGAGGUAAAGGCUCACCAAGGCAGCGAUCAGUAGCGGGUCUGAGAGGAUGACCAGCCACACUGGGACUGAGACGCGGCCCAGACUCCUACGGGAGGCAGGAGUGGGGAAUUUUCCGCAAUGGGCGAAAGCCUGACGGAGAAAUACCGCGUGAGGGAAGAAGGCUCUUGGGUUGUAAACCUCUUUUCUUAGGGAAGAACAGAAUGACGGUACCUAAGGAAUCAGCAUCGGCUAACUCCGUG